This 28-nucleotide small RNA is filed under the name Bombyx mori (domestic silkworm). RNAcentral's name for it is "piRNA piR-bmo-1483344". The record is from RNAcentral. Lineage: Eukaryota; Metazoa; Arthropoda; Insecta; Lepidoptera; Bombycidae.
UGACUGGUUUGCUAGUUCCGAUGAAUUG